Molecule: ribosomal RNA, 495 nt
Filed under: uncultured bacterium
Lineage: Bacteria
Description: partial 16S ribosomal RNA
Rfam family: Bacterial small subunit ribosomal RNA
Source: RNAcentral
GACGAACGCUGGCGGCGUGCCUAAUACAUGCAAGUAGAACGCUGAAGGAGGAGCUUGCUUCUCCGGAUGAGUUGCGAACGGGUGAGUAACGCGUAGGUAACCUGCCUGGUAGCGGGGGAUAACUAUUGGAAACGAUAGCUAAUACCGCAUAAGAGUAGAUGUCGCAUGACAUUUGCUUAAAAGGUGCAACUGCACCACUACCAGAUGGACCUGCGUUGUAUUAGCUAGUUGGUGAGGUAACGGCUCACCAAGGCAACGAUACAUAGCCGACCUGAGAGGGUGAUCGGCCACACUGGGACUGAGACACGGCCCAGACUCCUACGGGAGGCAGCAGGAGGGAAUCUUCGGCAAUGGACGGAAGUCUGACCGAGCAACGCCGCGGGAGUGAAGAAGGUUUUCGGAUCGGAAAGAUCGGUUGUAAGGGAAGAACGAGUGUGAGAGUGGAAAGUUCACACUGUGACGGUAGCUUACCAGAAAGGGACGGCUAACUACGUG